GUCGUGUAUUGCAUCUGUUGGUCUUCAGUCAUGUGUUGUAAAGCGAUACACGGAUUAAGUGAAAGGUAUCUGAUGGCUGAAACUUAGAAAGUACAAAGGAUAGGGGAAUGCAGUUCUAGUGGAAAUGAACUGCUCUGGAUAAGCCUGAAGCAGCAUAUCUAAAGUUGCUCUUGGCUGUAACAUCAACUUACUAAAUUGACUGCAUUCUAAGAGAUGUGUUUCUGGCGCAAAAGAAUCACCUAUCACCAAGAGUGUGUCAAAAUGAAUGCCUAGCAGGAGUCCUGAUUUACAAACCAAUGCUGCUCAGCAUGUCUGUCUGGUCUUUGGAACCCAGAAAGUGUAUUAUUUUCAUAUUAAUAUACCCUGCCCGAUGGACAUGCCAUCCACUGGAAAACUGAAUGUCCUGAAAAGAAGUUAUGUUUUCAUAAUUCUUUGCUACAGUGUGUGUGCAAUAUUGUAUUCAGCAUAGCACAUCAUGUGCAUUAACUCACGGGCUACCUGCAUACAAGUCAAGAACACCCUAACAUAUAAAUACUUUUCACAAGUGGCAUCCUCUUGUCUGGACACAGAGUGCUCCCUGCUCUUCAGAGAACGCAAAUUUUGUAAAACAUUAUCCCAAAAAUUGAGCCUAUAAGAUACUUGGCUCCUUGGUCCCCACUGUGACUGUCCCCAUCUUCCCCAUCAUGAAUAAAAACCAAUUUUUUUAAUGUGUAAAACUUCCCAGAUAUAUUCAUUGCUCAAAAGAGAGAAGAAAUCCAACAUCUCGCCCCAAAACACAGCAAACCCUGUGUCUUAUGCAUGUAUUCAGAGAGGUGUAAUUUAUAUUUGGGCUACUAUAUGCUGGGUCAUACUGAACAUAAAAUCAUUAUUUAAAAUUAAAGGUUCUGGGGGGGGGGAUUAUUAACAACAUGUAAAGACUGAAACCACAAAUGUUGAAAGUAUUUUUGUAAGUGCUUUUCAUUUUUGUUCCAUAUCACAUUUAUGAAGUUUCUGAAGUGAGGGCUCCAUAUAAGGUGUAACAGCUCAGCUACUGACAGGUAUAUGUCUGCAGGCACAAUUUCUACAUAUAGUACAGCCCUCAAGAGUCCUACAACUGCUAGAUAUAUGUGCUGGAAGUUACAUUCAUGUUGGGACUCUAUGAAAUAAAAAUCACAAUCAAUUAUAUUGUCUAAAACAUUCAUGAUAGUGCCCUAUCAUCAGACAUUGGCACAGAUCAUUGCACCAUUAGUAGAAAGUGUCUAUUUUAACACAUCAUGGGAACCAAACCUUCUGUAUCAGAGGUUCCUAAGAACACACAGAAAUUUUAUUUUGUAUGGUUGUCUAUUCUGAGAUAUGACAUACCCUCAAAGAUGUUUUGACAGACAGUGCCCUAAAUACCUUGCAAGUUACAUUUUGAAUUUCUUAUAUGGUUGUACAUUCACCAGUCCAAAGAAACAUCAUCCAUAAUUAAAUACAUUCACUUCUGUGUUUAAGGAAUGUAAGGUACUUGUAGGAAACAUGGCUAAUGGCUUCAUGUGUAAUUCUGGCUUUGAAAAAAAUUACACCUUCAAUAUUUCAUGUGACUUUAUACAGUCAGUAAAGUUGGAAGCAAUUUCCAGAAAUGUCAAAUCUGGUUAGAACACCCUUUCUUUCCAAAGCAUCAGCACUAUAAUAUGCAGCUGAAAAGUUUCUCUCUGUUCAUAAUCAAAUUACAUCACAUAAUUUUACUUCUAUCAUGAGAUGUGUGUGAAUAUGGAAAUAAGUAUACUACAUAAAAGUGAUUAUAUAUAAAAAGAAAGCUGUUACCAAUAUGACCACCCCAGACUGUAUUAAAGACCAGGCCAAGACAUAUUAAGAGAAUUUCUUUUUAGUGAUGUAUAUUUAUUAAGAUUAUUUUACUUAACUGAAAAUGAUUUCAGAUAAACAAUGAAAGGUCAAAUCAAAUAACCACUCAAUUCUCUUGUGACUAGGUAGCAGAAAAAAGAAAACUGGGAUGAAUAUGCUUUUCAAAAUGCUAUCAAGAUAGUGAAAUAAUGUCUUGUCCACAAAUGCAAGUAAACAGGUUGGACAGCCUAGGAGGAUAUUCAAGAAACAUCUGAAAGAAGACAGAAAAACCUCCUUUGGGUCAAAUUGGCAGAAGUGCAAGAACAAGACAUCUCUCACAUGAUAACUCUCUUAUGUCAGCUGCAUUUGUUUCCUAAUUCAAAAUGUGUACUAUAUAU
Cryptotermes secundus is the source of this 2201-nucleotide long non-coding RNA. RefSeq lists it as uncharacterized. Lineage: Eukaryota; Metazoa; Arthropoda; Insecta; Blattodea; Kalotermitidae. The transcript has 2 exons. The record is from RefSeq and is a predicted model, not a curated record.